UACGUAGGGGGCAAGCGUUGUCCGGAAUCAUUGGGCGUAAGGAGCUCGUAGGCGGUCUGUUGCGUCGGCUGUGAAAACCCGAGGCUCAACCUCGGGCCUGCAGCCGAUACGGGCAGACUAGAGUUCGGCAGGGGAGACUGGAAUUCCUGGUGUAGCGGUGAAAUGCGCAGAUAUCAGGAGGAACACCGGUGGCGAAGGCGGGU
Molecule: ribosomal RNA, 203 nt
Filed under: uncultured bacterium
Lineage: Bacteria
Description: partial 16S ribosomal RNA
Rfam family: Bacterial small subunit ribosomal RNA
Source: RNAcentral